UGGGGAAUUUUGGACAAUGGGGGAAACCCUGAUCCAGCCAUCCCGCGUGUGCGAUGAAGGCCUUCGGGUUGUAAAGCACUUUUGGCAGGAAAGAAACGUCAUGGGUUAAUACCCCGUGAAACUGACGGUACCUGCAGAAUAAGCACCGGCUAACUACGUGCCAGCAGCCGCGGUAAUACGUAGGGUGCAAGCGUUAAUCGGAAUUACUGGGCGUAAAGCGUGCGCAGGCGGUUCGGAAAGAAAGAUGUGAAAUCCCAGAGCUCAACUUUGGAACUGCAUUUUUAACUACCGGGCUAGAGUGUGUCAGAGGGAGGUGGAAUUCCGCGCGUAGCAGUGAAAUGCGUAGAUAUGCGGAGGAACACCGAUGGAGAAGGCAGCCUCCUGGGAUAACACUGACGCUCAUGCACGAAAGCGUGGGGAGCAAACAGG
This 429-nucleotide ribosomal RNA is filed under the name Acidobacteriota bacterium. RNAcentral describes it as "Acidobacteria bacterium partial 16S ribosomal RNA". It matches the Rfam family "Bacterial small subunit ribosomal RNA", at positions 355 to 776 of the family's 1533-position model. The record is from RNAcentral. Lineage: Bacteria; Pseudomonadati; Acidobacteriota.